This 263-nucleotide ribosomal RNA is filed under the name uncultured bacterium. RNAcentral's name for it is "partial 16S ribosomal RNA". It matches the Rfam family "Bacterial small subunit ribosomal RNA", at positions 335 to 608 of the family's 1533-position model. The record is from RNAcentral.
UGUACCUACGGGACGCAGCAGUCGAGAAUCAUUCACAAUGGGGGAAACCCUGAUGGUGCGACGCCGCGUGGGGGAAUGAAGGGCUUCGGAUUGUAAACCCCUGUCAUGUGGGAGCAAAUUAAAAAGAUGGUACCACAAGAGGAAGAGACGGCUAACUCUGUGCCAGCAGCCGCAGUAAUACAGAGGUCUCAAGCGUUGUUCGGAAUCACUGGGCGUAAAGCGUGCGUAGACUGUUUCGUAAGUCGUGUGUGAAAGGCGCGGGC